RNAcentral lists this long non-coding RNA (790 nucleotides) under Citrus x clementina. RNAcentral's name for it is "Citrus clementina (C. clementina) long non-coding RNA (CCLE_LNC002348)". Lineage: Eukaryota; Viridiplantae; Streptophyta; Magnoliopsida; Sapindales; Rutaceae. The record is from RNAcentral.
AUCAUUAAAUAAUCUUGAAAUCAAAGUAAUAAUUAAAUACAAAUAAAUUGCUCGAAUUGUACAUAUAUCUGAAUCAUGUAGUGAAGAAAAUACAACAACAACAGCCAAUGGCUCAAAUUCCCUAUCAACUUCUAGUCUCAACACUUUUGAGUGUCAGAAGCAUUACUCUGCUACUAGUUAACAAACAUAUAAUUAGUAAUUUGCCAUUCACUUCCCUUUUAGGCCUAACACAUUUUCUAUAAAAGAGCCACAGAGUGAACUCAGCAGGAAACACUCAAUUUCAACCUACGUAGGACCAGGAAUUUCAACCAAAAAAAAAGUGUGCAAUUGCUUAUCCUAUCCUAUUGCUACUAGAAAGAAAGUGAACAAUUAAUUUCAGUGAAUAAAUUAAAAAAAAAAUUACUUCUGCAGAUACUCAAGCUAAGAACACAUUAACCCAUUAAAGACUCCAAAUUGCAUCAAACAAAUUGUUGUUAAACAAGUAAAACAAAGAAAGAGAGUUAAGGAAGCUGACCAAGUAGUAGGGGAGCUGAAGAAAGACUGCCAGUGAAUGUAAGAGAAAAUAAAAUGCAAGAAAUGGUGAAGUGCAGCUUUUCAUGUCAACUUGAAAUUGAGUUUUCUGUUUUUUUUUUUUUUUUUAAUCUUUUGGAUUUUUCAAACAAAGAAAAUGAGGAGCAACCAGGGAGAUAAAAAGGGCGCCAAGGCAACUGUGUGUUGGGUUUAGAGCCAAAAAAAAAAAGAAUAAGACAUCGUGUUCUUGUGGAGACCAGACCUAUUACGUAACGUCCCC